RNAcentral lists this ribosomal RNA (699 nucleotides) under Triticum aestivum (bread wheat). Its description in RNAcentral is "partial small subunit ribosomal RNA". Lineage: Eukaryota; Viridiplantae; Streptophyta; Magnoliopsida; Poales; Poaceae. The record is from RNAcentral.
UGGCUGGUAGGCCUCUGCUUUAAAUGUCUGGAGGCUGGUCACUUUAAGGCGGAGUGCUCCGGUGAGAUUCGCUGCCACAACUGCUGGGUAUCGGGACACGUUGCUCGCUCCUGCUCCUCCCACCCUUCGCAGCACACUGCCAGAGCUCGCGGCAUGGAUGCGCUCGAGGCGGAUUUCCGCAAUCGCGCGUUGCUGGCCUCGGUGCAAGGGCGGCGGCCUGCGGUGUCGCCGGAGGCGCUGGUGCAAGCCCUGGGGAGAGAGUGCGGGGUCGAGUGGAGGUUCGUCCGGGUGGAGGUGACGCACCCUGCAGAUUUCUUCAUCUAUUUUGCUUCCACAGAAGAUUGCGACCGGGUCUUCAGCCAGACCGGCCAGAUCCGGUGUGCGGGCGCGCAAAUCGCGUUCCAGCGCUGGCACCGGUGCGCCCAAGCAUCCAGUGGCAAGCUCGAGUUCUUCUGCAAGCUGGGAAUUGAGGGACUGCCAGCGGGUGGCUGGGAGUGGGAGACGCUGAGCCAGCUCGUCAACAAUCUUCAAGGCCAACUGGUGGAGGUGCUACCGCAAGACGAUCGCUGGCAGGUUGAUGUCACUGCUUGGAUGCGCAAUCCAUCCGGCAUUCCGAAGGUGUAUGAUCUGGAGAUGCCCGAGCCGGUGGGUUUGCCCAAUGUGGUGGACGAGGACUGGCCGUUUGCGCCUCCACCGCCG